GACGAACUGUGCGAACGUUAUUCGGAAUCACUGGGCUUACAGGGUGCGUAGGCGGCCUGUUAAGUAGGGUGUGAAAUCCCCCGGCCCAACCGGGGAAUGGCGCUCUAAACUAGCAGGCUCGAGUGAGCUAGAGGUGCAUGGAACUUCCAGUGGAGCGGUGAAAUGUGUUGAUAUUGGAAGGAACACCGGAGGCGAAAGCGAUGCACUGGGGCUUUUCUGACGCUGAGGCACGAAAGCCAGGGUAGCGAACGGGAUUAGAAACCCCAGUAGUCC
RNAcentral lists this ribosomal RNA (273 nucleotides) under uncultured bacterium. RNAcentral describes it as "partial 16S ribosomal RNA". It matches the Rfam family "Bacterial small subunit ribosomal RNA", at positions 524 to 796 of the family's 1533-position model. The record is from RNAcentral.